RNAcentral lists this ribosomal RNA (441 nucleotides) under uncultured bacterium. Its description in RNAcentral is "partial 16S ribosomal RNA". It matches the Rfam family "Bacterial small subunit ribosomal RNA", at positions 338 to 795 of the family's 1533-position model. The record is from RNAcentral.
CCUACGGGAGGCUGCAGUGGGGAAUAUUGGGCAAUGGGCGCAAGCCUGACCCAGCAACGCCGCGUGAAGGAAGAAGGCUUUCGGGUUGUAAACUUCUUUUAAGAGGGAAGAGCAGAAGACGGUACCUCUUGAAUAAGCCACGGCUAACUACGUGCCAGCAGCCGCGGUAAUACGUAGGUGGCAAGCGUUGUCCGGAUUUACUGGGUGUAAAGGGCGUGUAGCCGGGCUGACAAGUCAGAUGUGAAAUUCCGGGGCUCAACCCCGGACCUGCAUUGGAAACUGUUGGUCUUGGGUAUCGGAGAGGCAGGCGGAAUUCCUGGUGUGGCGGUGAAAUGCGUAGAUAUUAGGAGGAACACCAGUGGCGAGGGCGGCCUGCUGGACGACAACUGACGGUGAGGCGCGAAAGCGUGAGAGGCAAACAGAAUUGGCUACCCAGUAGUC